Molecule: ribosomal RNA, 472 nt
Filed under: uncultured bacterium
Lineage: Bacteria
Description: bacterial SSU rRNA
Rfam family: Bacterial small subunit ribosomal RNA
Source: RNAcentral
UGGGGAAUCUUGGACAAUGGGCGAAAGCCUGAUCCAGCCAUGCCGCGUGUGUGAAGAAGGUCUUCGGAUUGUAAAGCACUUUAAGUUGGGAGGAAGGGCAGUUACCUAAUACGUGAUUGUUUUGACGUUACCGACAGAAUAAGCACCGGCUAACUCUGUGCCAGCAGCCGCGGUAAUACAGAGGGUGCAAGCGUUAAUCGGAAUUACUGGGCGUAAAGCGCGCGUAGGUGGUUUGUUAAGUUGGAUGUGAAAGCCCCGGGCUCAACCUGGGAACUGCAUCCAAAACUGGCAAGCUAGAGUACGGUAGAGGGUGGUGGAAUUUCCUGUGUAGCGGUGAAAUGCGUAGAUAUAGGAAGGAACACCAGUGGCGAAGGCGACCACCUGGACUGAUACUGACACUGAGGUGCGAAAGCGUGGGGAGCAAACAGGAUUAGAUACCCUAGUAGUCCCUGAGCGGGCUGGCAAGGCGCAU